CUGCUGCCUUCCGUAGGAGUUUGGGCCGUGUCUCAGUCCCAAUGUGGCCGGUCACCCUCUCAGGUCGGCUACUGAUCGUUGCCUUGGUAGGCCGUUACCCCACCAACCAGCCAAUCAGACGCGGGUCCAUCUCAUACCACCGGAGUUUUUACCACCGGGCCAUGCGGCCCUGUGGUCUUAUGCGGUAUUAGCAGUCAUUUCUAACUGUUAUCCCCCUGUAUGAGGCAGGUUACCCACGCGUUACUCACCCGUCCGCCGCUCAGU
This 264-nucleotide ribosomal RNA is filed under the name uncultured bacterium. Its description in RNAcentral is "partial 16S ribosomal RNA". The record is from RNAcentral.